UGGGCUGUCGUUCAAUUGGCAGGACAAUGGAUUCUGACUCCAUCAAUCAUAGUUCGAGUCUAUGCAGCCCAGCCA
RNAcentral lists this transfer RNA (75 nucleotides) under uncultured delta proteobacterium. RNAcentral describes it as "tRNA-Gln". It matches the Rfam family "tRNA". Rfam says of the family: Transfer RNA (tRNA) molecules are approximately 80 nucleotides in length. The record is from RNAcentral. Lineage: Bacteria; Deltaproteobacteria.